This 82-nucleotide small RNA is filed under the name Caenorhabditis japonica. Its description in RNAcentral is "snRNA CJA48855". It matches the Rfam family "SL2 RNA". Rfam says of the family: This family represents SL2 RNA. The record is from Rfam by way of RNAcentral. Lineage: Eukaryota; Metazoa; Nematoda; Chromadorea; Rhabditida; Rhabditidae.
GGUUUUAACCCAGUUACUCAAGGUACGCUGGAGUUCCGACCAUUCGAAAGAGUGUGUCGAACAACUUUAAAGGGGGUGCCAA